Molecule: unclassified non-coding RNA, 332 nt
Filed under: Hevea brasiliensis (rubber tree)
Lineage: Eukaryota; Viridiplantae; Streptophyta; Magnoliopsida; Malpighiales; Euphorbiaceae
Source: RNAcentral
GCAUACAUAAUAAACUUGAGAAAGGAAAAUAAAAUUUCUAAAACAAUGACUAACAGAUAACCACACAAAAAAUGAGCAGAAGAAGCAAGAAAAAAUCCAACAUGGCAAUGCUGAUUUGAAUCUUCCAUCAUGGGCUGUGCAUGGAUUGCAAGGCACACGUUCAAUUAAGAGGAAACUAUAGAUCACUUAAGAGAUCUUGAAUACCGGGUAGGCCUCACAAAAAUCUACGACUUCUAGUCAUUUUCUCCUGCAAGAAACCCCAUAUACAGUAGCACAAAAAAACCCACACUAGGAAGCUAUACAACAUAUCCUGCUUUCAAAGCAAACAAAGU